AGCAGCCGCGGUAAUUCCAGCUCCAAUAGCGUAUAUUAAAGUUGUUGCAGUUAAAAGCUCGUAGUUGAAUUUUAGGCCUGGCCGGGCGGUCCGUCUUUGGCGAGUACUGUCUGUUGUCGGGUCUUCCUUCUGGUGAACCAAUAUGUCCUUUAUUGGGUGUGCUGGGGAGCCAGGACCAUUACCUUGAAAAAAUUAGAGUGUUUAAAGCAGGCUUUUGCUUGAAUAGAUUAGCAUGGAAUAAUAGAAUAGGACGUUGUGGUUCUAUUUUGUUGGUUUCUAGGACCACCGUAAUGAUUAAUAGGGAUAGUUGGGGGCAUUAGUAUUCAAUUGUCAGAGGUGAAAUUCUUGGAUUUAUUGAAGACUAACUAUUGCGAAAGCAUUUGCCAAGGAUGUUUUCAUUAAUCAAGAACGAAAGUUAGGGGAUCGAAGACGAUCAGAUACUGUCGUAGUCUUAACCAUAAACUAUGCCGACUAGGAAUCGGGCGACGUUAUUUUAAUGACUCGCUCGGCGCCUUAUGGG
This 520-nucleotide ribosomal RNA is filed under the name uncultured Archaeospora. RNAcentral describes it as "SSU rRNA". It matches the Rfam family "Eukaryotic small subunit ribosomal RNA", at positions 569 to 1094 of the family's 1831-position model. Lineage: Eukaryota; Fungi; Glomeromycota; Glomeromycetes; Archaeosporales; Archaeosporaceae. The record is from RNAcentral.